UACGGAGGGUGCAAGCGUUAAUCGGAAUUACUGGGCGUAAAGCGCACGUAGGUGGUUUGUUAAGCUAGCUGUGAAAUCCCCGGGCUCAACCUGGGCACUGCAGUUAGAACUGGCAAGCUAGAGUAGGGUAGAGGGGUGUGGAAUUUCCUGUGUAGCGGUGAAAUGCGUAGAUAUAGGAAGGAACACCAGUGGCGAAGGCGACUACCUGGACUGAUACUGACACUGAGGUGCGAAAGCGUGGGGAGCAAACAGGAUUAGAAACCCGUGUAGU
RNAcentral lists this ribosomal RNA (271 nucleotides) under uncultured bacterium. RNAcentral's name for it is "partial 16S ribosomal RNA". It matches the Rfam family "Bacterial small subunit ribosomal RNA", at positions 524 to 794 of the family's 1533-position model. The record is from RNAcentral.